CCGAACCCACCAGGGUUAAAAACCUGGGGGAUGAGCUGUGGGUAGGGGUGAAAGGCCAAUCAAACUCCGUGAUAGCUGGUUCUCCCCGAAAUGCAUUUAGGUGCAGCGUCGCAUGUUUCACCUCGGAGGUAGAGCUACUGGAUGGCCGAUGGGCCCUACAAGGUUACUGACGUCAGCCAAACUCCGAAUGCCGGGGUGUGAGAGUGCGGCAGUGAGACUGCGGGGGAUAAGCUUCGUAGUCGAGAGGGAAACAGCCCAGAUCGCCGGCUAAGGCCCCUAAGCGUGUACUAAGUGGAAAAGGAUGUGGGAUCGCUGAGACAGCCAGGAGGUUGGCUUAGAAGCAGCCACCCUUGAAAGAGUGCGUAAUAGCUCACUGGUCAAGUGGUCCUGCGCCGAUAAUUUAGCGGGGCUCAAGUACACCGCCGAAGCCGCGGCACUCACACGUGUACCUCCCUUUGUGGGCAGGUGUGUGGGUGGGUAGGGGAGCGUCGUGUGGCCAUGGAAGCGCCGGAGUGAUCCAGGUGUGGAGGCCACGCGAGUGAGAAUGCAGGCAUGAGUAGCGAAUGACGAGUGAGAACCUCGUCCGCCGGAUGACCAAGGGUUCCUGGGUCAAGCUAAUCUGCCCAGGGUGAGUCGGGACCUAAGGCGAGGCCGACAGGCGUAGUCGAUGGACAACGGGUUGAUAUUCCCGUACCCGCGA
RNAcentral lists this ribosomal RNA (700 nucleotides) under Tryblionella compressa. RNAcentral's name for it is "partial Bacterial large subunit ribosomal RNA". It matches the Rfam family "Bacterial large subunit ribosomal RNA", at positions 774 to 1450 of the family's 2925-position model. The record is from RNAcentral. Lineage: Eukaryota; Bacillariophyta; Bacillariophyceae; Bacillariales; Bacillariaceae.